UGAAGAAAAUUACGUACACUUUUCGUCGCGUUCUUAUGCUAUCUUCGGCUGGUCGUUUCAGAGCACUCUGGAGCGCUCUCGCGAGCGGCGUUGUCUUCGACUGGUUGAAAGAGAGUGCGCGCCCUGCGUUCGGCUGGUUCUUCUCGAUUGCUCUCCUCUAUCUUGGAGCGCUCUGAGGCGCUCCGAGCCCUGUCGUCGGAGCAGUCAUCGAGAUUGAAACGUCAUCGCAGCGCCGCGUCGCUGCUGUUGGCGACGGCCCACCGUAACCUUGGCAACCUAGGCCACUGCAUGCUGGCGUCUCUGCGAACGUUCGUCCCGCCGGCACGUCCGCCGGUUUUUCGGGCAGCGCCGGGAGCUUUGGACAGGCGAAACAUCGGACGUUGGCAGUAGUCACGUGGUUUCGCAUCAGCAAUUUCCACCUCGGAGAGCGAGUCGUACGUUCGGCUUGCACGCUUGUCCCCUACCUUUGAGCUCGGGAAACGACCGAUCUACCCGACUCUGCUUCGGGGCAUACAGGCGACCAGUCGAAGAUACCAUUAGUACAUAGGCGCCGAUAAUGCGCCUUCGUCAGCCAUAUUAGGGAUGGUGACCGAGCGUUUUCACGCGUCUCCAAUUGCUGUGUCAGCGCAGCGUUGCCGGUGGCUGCCGCCGUAGAUCCGAAGUGAAAGGGUGUGCCUGCUGCUCAAAAAGCGAUAGCGUUUAGUUUGACGUGCCACACGUUGAAGGGCAAACCAUCGAACGCGACUGAGUGCACGCGGCUCGAACUGGCUGCAACGCUGUUGCUAAGGUUUCGGUCUCACAUUGAACGUACUGUAGGUGCCUCUUCUGUUAAAGGGGGGCCGCUUUUCUAGAGGAAUAUGUUUUCGUCCUGCGAGGUAAAAGGCGUCUUGCGGGGACGCUGCAACUUUGAAGACAGCUGUGAGUGCGACGGUUAUUUCCGGUCUACUGAUGGUUCUCACCAGCCGGCAGCGCCGUACCAAGCAUCCUGGUGUGCAUACUGCGGGCAUAGCCCGGUUCACCAUGCUCGUAUGGUCCCAGGCCAGCAGCCCUUGCCAACAUGCUGCACGCAAACAGAAGAAUCGUUGCAAGAGUUCCGGGCCGCAAAUAUUGAUGGGGAGGAGGAUCAUCCGUUAUGCGAUAUUUCAAACGUGCGGACGUCGUCUCCAAUCGCAAGUGAUGCAGCCCGUCUCACGGAUGGGCUUGAAGCAGCUCGCCGAUCUAAAGACCCACAGCCGAGUAACACGCCUUCUGCCAGCGAGCGAGUUGUCGACCAAGCUGAAACUUCGGACGUCGGCGCAGAUAGAAAAACUCUGGCAAGCCUUCACUGGUCAGUAGACAACAAGCUGCCCGAGUUUUCGGCUUUCGUUCAGCCACUGCUCAAUGGAAUGGAAAUUACGGAAGAACAACACCGCAAACAGUCGAAACAACUUCGCCAUGAGGAGAUUCAUUUUCUCGAUGAAAACAAUGCAAUUCAGGACAAAAAUACUGCCCUACGUCGAUGGAAGUACUUUGCGUUAGGAGAGACACUCGCAAAUAUGUAUCCCAACAUGCUUUGGGAAAAAUCGCGGAAGGACGUAAGAGGACGUACAAAAGGACCAAAGGCUGUAUUUCUGUCGCGGCUUGCGGAGGCAAGACGGCACAGGGCACAACGACGAGAAGCAAGUGAAGCUUCCAAGAAGGCUCCACUCCAGGCCGCAGCUCUGUCCUUAGAGCCCCAGUUAAUCGACUCCGAAUCUGCGUCGAUAGAACUGGAAGCAGUUGGGGAGGCUUCAGGUCCAACAGGACCUUUUAACUAAGAAAGAAUGGUGGUGCUGUUGCACAGCACUAUCAAGAUGCGCAAGGCCAACCCACCCGCUCGGCUGCCAGGCUUUUUUUUGAACGAAGAAAUUCUUGGCGUCGAAGCAGAGAUAAGGUUUAACCAGAAGAUAGUCGAAAUCGUGAACCGACUGAACAAAGUUAAAGAGCUCGUUACAAAACUGUACAGUCGUGAUAUGGACUUCGCCAGCAUUGAUGAGGAGCUGAGAACACUCGCUGAUUGCUUCAGGUCGCACUUCAGACGAGAACGGGCCCGGACCAAGGAUUCUGUGGACCGAGUCUUCAAAGAGCAUCUAUUGUACAGAGGGCGAAGUUGUCA
RNA transcript from Dermacentor andersoni, 2134 nucleotides. RefSeq lists it as uncharacterized. The record is from RefSeq and is a predicted model, not a curated record. Lineage: Eukaryota; Metazoa; Arthropoda; Arachnida; Ixodida; Ixodidae.